GGCUCAGAUUGAACGCUGGCGGCAUGCCUUACACAUGCAAGUCGAACGGUAACGGGCCUUCGGGCGCCGACGAGUGGCGAACGGGUGAGUAAUGCAUCGGAACGUACCUUUCAGUGGGGGAUAACGUAGCGAAAGUUACGCUAAUACCGCAUAUUCUGUGAGCAGGAAAGCAGGGGGAUCGCAAGACCUUGCGCUGAUUGAGCGGCCGAUGUCAGAUUAGCUAGUUGGUGAGGUAAAGGCUCACCAAGGCGACGAUCUGUAGCGGGUCUGAGAGGAUGAUCCGCCACACUGGAACUGAGACACGGUCCAGACUCCUACGGGAGGCAGCAGUGGGGAAUUUUGGACAAUGGGGGCAACCCUGAUCCAGCCAUGCCGCGUGAGUGAAGAAGGCCUUCGGGUUGUAAAGCUCUUUCGGCCGGGAAGAAAUCGUAUGGGCUAAUACCCUGUGCGGAUGACGGUACCGGCAUAAGAAGCACCGGCUAACUACGUG
Molecule: ribosomal RNA, 490 nt
Filed under: uncultured bacterium
Lineage: Bacteria
Description: bacterial SSU rRNA
Rfam family: Bacterial small subunit ribosomal RNA
Source: RNAcentral